GACGUAGGGGGCCAGCGUUGCUCGGAAUUACUGGGCGUAAAGGGUUCGUAGGCGGUGUGGCAAGUCGGAAGUGAAAUCUCCAGGCUCAACUUGGAGGCUGCUCCCGAAACUGCCACGCUAGAGUGCGAGAGAGGCCAGUGGAAUUGCAGGUGUAGCGGUGAAAUGCGUAGAUAUCUGCAGGAACACCCGUGGCGAAGGCGGCAUCCUGGACCGACAUUGACGCUGAGGAGCGAAAGCUAGGGGAGCAAACGGG
RNAcentral lists this ribosomal RNA (253 nucleotides) under uncultured bacterium. RNAcentral describes it as "partial 16S ribosomal RNA". It matches the Rfam family "Bacterial small subunit ribosomal RNA", at positions 524 to 776 of the family's 1533-position model. The record is from RNAcentral.